This is a small nucleolar RNA of Zingiber officinale, 106 nucleotides long. NCBI's taxonomy places the organism in Eukaryota, Viridiplantae, Streptophyta, Magnoliopsida, Zingiberales, Zingiberaceae. The record is from RefSeq and is a predicted model, not a curated record.
AAAUCAUGGUUGGGGCACUGUCUUAAUAAACUCUUGAAUUUGUCUCAUGCUUCAAAUAGUGAUUCUCCAUCUUCCUGAGCAAAACUUGUAAUGCGCUUCCUCAUAU